AGUGAACGCUGGCGGUAGGCCUAACACAUGCAAGUCGAACGGCAGCACAGUAAGAGCUUGCUCUUACGGGUGGCGAGUGGCGGACGGGUGAGGAAUACAUCGGAAUCUACUUUUUCGUGGGGGAUAACGUAGGGAAACUUACGCUAAUACCGCAUACGACCUACGGGUGAAGGCAGGGGAUCUUCGGACCUUGCGCGAUUGAAUGAGCCGAUGUCGGAUUAGCUAGUUGGCGGGGUAAAGGCCCACCAAGGCGACGAUCCGUAGCUGGUCUGAGAGGAUGAUCAGCCACACUGGAACUGAGACACGGUCCAGACUCCUACGGGAGGCAGCAGUGGGGAAUAUUGGACAAUGGGCGCAAGCCUUAUCCAGCCAUACCGCGUGGGUGAAGAAGGCCUUCGGGUUGUAAAGCCCUUUUGUUGGGAAAGAAAAGCAGCAGGUUAAUACCCCGCUGUUCUGACGGUACCCAAAGAAUAAGCACCGGCUAACUUCGUG
RNAcentral lists this ribosomal RNA (492 nucleotides) under uncultured bacterium. RNAcentral's name for it is "partial 16S ribosomal RNA". It matches the Rfam family "Bacterial small subunit ribosomal RNA", at positions 29 to 507 of the family's 1533-position model. The record is from RNAcentral.